UGAAACCGCGAAUGGCUCAUUAAAUCAGUUAUGGUUCAUUAGAUCGUACCGAAUUUUUACUUGGAUAACUGUGGCAAUUCUAGAGCUAAUACAUGCAAUCAAGCUUCGACCCUCGCGGGAACGAGCGCUUUUAUUAGAACAAGACCAAUACGGACUUCCUUCCGUUUCCGUUUCAUUUUCGCUUCCCCCUAACCGGGGACAGAGAGAAAAGCGGCGGUCGGUUCCGUCAACCCCAAUUGGUGACUCUGGAUAACGCAAAGCCGAUCGCACGGUCUCGCACCGGCGAUCAAUCUUUCAAAUGUCUGCCUUAUCAACUGUCGAUGGUAGGUUACGCGCCUACCAUGGUUGUAACGGGUAACGGGGAAUCAGGGUUCGAUUCCGGAGAGGGAGCCUGAGAAACGGCUACCACAUCCAAGGAAGGCAGCAGGCACGCAAAUUACCCAAUCUCAGAACGAGGAGGUAGUGACGAAAAAUAACAAUACGGGACUCUUCCGAGGCCCCGUAAUUGGAAUGAGCACACAUUAAAUCCUUUAACGAGGAUCAAUUGGAGGGCAAGUCUGGUGCCAGCAGCCGCGGUAAUUCCAGCUCCAAUAGCGUAUAUUAAAGUUGUUGCGGUUAAAAAGCUCGUAGUUGGAUCUCGGUGCCGGACCGGCGGUCCGCCCCUCGCGGGGCGGUCUCACUGCCGGCUUCGGCGCCAAACAAGCCGGCCCAUCCCUCGAUGCUCUUCGCCGAGUGUCCCGGGUGACCGGAACGUUUACUUUGAACAAAUUAGAGUGCUCCAAGCAGGCGUUCAAACUCGCCCGCAUAGCCCAGCAUGGAAUAAUGGAAUAGGACCUCGGUUCUAUUUUGUUGGUUUUUCUUUCGGAACCCGAGGUAAUGAUUAAUAGGGACGGACGGGGGCAUUCGUAUUGCGGCGCUAGAGGUGAAAUUCUUGGACCGUCGCAAGACGAACUACUGCGAAAGCAUUUGCCAAGAAUGUUUUCAUUAAUCAAGAACGAAAGUUAGAGGUUCGAAGGCGAUCAGAUACCGCCCUAGUUCUAACCAUAAACGAUGCCGACCAGCGAUCCGCCGGAGUUCCUCCGAUGACUCGGCGGGCAGCUUCCGGGAAACCAAAGUUUUUGGGUUCCGGGGGAAGUAUGGUUGCAAAGCUGAAACUUAAAGGAAUUGACGGAAGGGCACCACCAGGAGUGGAGCCUGCGGCUUAAUUUGACUCAACACGGGAAAACUCACCCGGCCCGGACACUGGAAGGAUUGACAGAUUGAGAGCUCUUUCUUGAUUCAGUGGGUGGUGGUGCAUGGCCGUUCUUAGUUGGUGGAGCGAUUUGUCUGGUUAAUUCCGAUAACGAACGAGACUCUGGCCUAUUAAAUAGACGACCGAUCCCGGGGUGCCGGUGCUACCGUCUUGCUUCCGCCUCGGUCCGGCGCUUUCUCUCCGCUCGAGGCAGUGCGUGCCGCGCGCGAACUGUGUUCGCGGGUCGUGUACGGUCGGCUUCCCGGUUCCCUCACUCUCUGCUUCUCUCGUGUGUUGUGCCGUCUCGCACUCUCCGUCUUCUCGUGGCGUCCCGUCUCGUGCGGGGCGUCGUGGUUGCCGGUCUGUGUCGAACGUGCGCGUGCGGGGGAUAGCUUUGCGAGGAGGUCUGGGCGUCGACACGACGAAAGCCCGUGGCGCAGCCGCUCUACGCGGUCGUGCUUCGCCAAAGGCGGGGUCGGCUCGGGCUCGAGCGGUUGUCUACAGCGCGGCUCAGCACCCGGCGUUGCCUCUGUCGGUCGAUCAAUGCUUCUUAAGGGGACAAGCGGCGCUCAGCCGCACGAGAUUGAGCAAUAACAGGUCUGUGAUGCCCUUAGAUGUCCGGGGCCGCACGCGCGCUACACUGAAAGAAUCAACGUGUUUGCUAUCCUGGUCCGGAAGGUCCGGGAAACCCGUUGAACCUCUUUCGUGAUAGGGAUCGGGGCUUGAAACUGUCCCCCGCGAACGAGGAAUUCCCAGUAAACGCGAGUCAUAAGCUCGCGUUGAUUACGUCCCUGCCCUUUGUACACACCGCCCGUCGCUACUACCGAUUGAAUGAUUUAGUGAGGUCUUCGGACUGGCAGUCUCUGCGGCCCUCGGGUCGCGGCGGCCCGUCGGGAAGA
Molecule: ribosomal RNA, 2130 nt
Filed under: Dignathodon microcephalus
Lineage: Eukaryota; Metazoa; Arthropoda; Chilopoda; Geophilomorpha; Dignathodontidae
Description: SSU rRNA
Rfam family: Eukaryotic small subunit ribosomal RNA
Source: RNAcentral